Non-coding RNA from Pelobates cultripes (western spadefoot toad), 1321 nucleotides. The record is from the annotation of a GenBank genome assembly. Lineage: Eukaryota; Metazoa; Chordata; Amphibia; Anura; Pelobatidae.
CCUGUAUCCCUCAUAUUUGUUCAAAAGAUAUAUAAAUUGACUUUAUUUUUCCCAACCGCUUCCGGGGGAAGAAUGACCUGCAACAAAUCAAAUAUCCUUUCAACGUUCAUUUCUAACGUGAUUAGAAUAGGACAUGUUUAAGAAGGUUGAUUUUCUGGGACCAAUCAAUGUAUUUUUGGAGAGAAUUUGCUUAACGGGAAAGCAUAUAAAACGUAAUGCCCAUUUUCUGGGUUUAUUUUUAUUUUUUUUGUGUUAAUCCUAUACCUGUUGAUACCACAUUUAAGGUCCUGCUUUGUUUACAAUGUCAGUCAGAUUACCUAGUGUACACUGACAUGGACGUACUUUCAGUGUGACAGCAGACAACAGUGCAACAUGCUGGCCUCAUCCAUGUUCCUGAAAGGACAAAAUACGAUUUAAAAUUAAACUAUUGAAAAACUAGGAGUAUGAGAUUGGUGGUAGGUAACCAUUGAGGCUUUAAAGUUUUGUAUGCAUAUUAUUGUUUCCUGUACAGGAAACAAAAUGUGUGAUGCUUAUACCCAGCUCUGUAAGUCAUGCCCUUUUCCUGAAUCACAAUUUUUAUACUGAUGUUCACUGCUCGGUGAGGGUAUAAGAAAUACAUAUUUUGGGUCCCCUUUAUUAAUAAAGAGGUGUCUGAUGAAUACCCUUGUCCAGUGGUAGGCAAUCUUUGGCACUCAAGAUGUUGUGGACUACAUCUCCCAUGAUGCUUUGCCAGCAAUAUUGUUGUAACAGCAUUAUGGGAGAUGCGACUAAGGUGUUGGUCCAUUCCACUGUCCUUUCUCGCCUUGACUACUGUAAUCCACUUCUCAGUGGUCUUACGUGCUCCCAACUUGCGCCGUUACAGUCUAUAAUGAAUGCGGCGGCGAGGCUCAUCUUCUUGUCCGCCCGCACCUCCCAUGCCUCACCCUUCUGUCAGUCCCUACAUUGGCUUCCUAUAAAAUAUAGAGCUCAAUUUAAAAUUCUGGUUCUUGCUUUCAAAUCUCUACAUAAUGCUGCUCCCACCUAUCUAUCCUCCCUUAUACACAAGUAUGUCCUUUCUAGGCCCUUACGAUCUGCCGAAGACUUACGUCUAUCUUCUGUCCGUACUCCCACCUCUGAUGCUCGCCUUCAAGAUUUCUUGAGGGCUGCACCAUUCCUGUGGAACUCGCUUCCCUCCUCCGUUAGAUGCUCACCCAGUCUCCACUCUUUCAAAAAAUCAUUAAAGACCGACUUCUUCAUAAAAGCAUAUCCAUUAAACUGUUAAUAGCUCCUGACUGAUUCCUCUUUGGCAACUGUCACUAGUCUAAUACUAUCCUUACCUUUU